This 253-nucleotide ribosomal RNA is filed under the name uncultured bacterium. RNAcentral describes it as "partial 16S ribosomal RNA". It matches the Rfam family "Bacterial small subunit ribosomal RNA", at positions 524 to 776 of the family's 1533-position model. The record is from RNAcentral.
UACGUAGGCAGCAAGCGUUGUUCGGAAUUACUGGGCGUAAAGAGUGUGUAGGCGGUGCUCUAAGUUUGGUGUGAAAUCCCUCGGCUUAACCGAGGAACUGCGUCCGAUACUGAAAGGCUUGAAUCCGGGAGAGGGAUGUGGAAUUCCAGGUGUAGCGGUGAAAUGCGUAGAUAUCUGGAGGAACACCGGUGGCGAAGGCGGCAUCCUGGACCGGCAUUGACGCUGAGGCGCGAAAGCUAGGGGAGCAAACGGG